AUACGGAGGAUCCGAGCGUUAUCUGGAUUUAUUGGGUUUAAAGGGUGCGCAGGCGGCCAUUUAAGUCAGCGGUAAAAUCGUGGGGCUCAACCCCAUUCUGCCGUUGAUACUGGGUGGCUUGAUUGCGGUCGAGGUUGGCGGAAUUCGUUGUGUAGCGGUGAAAUGCAUAGAUAUGACGAAGAACACCGAUUGCGUAGGCAGCUGACCAGACCGCAAAUGACGCUCAUGCACGAAAGUGCGGGGAUCGAACAGGAUUAGAUACCCUGGUAGUCCGCACAGUAAACGAUGAAUACUUGUUUUCGGCGAUAUAAUGUCGGAGGCAAAGCGAAAGCGAUAAGUAUUCCACCUGGGGAGUACGCCGGCAACGGUGAAACUUAAAGGAAUUGACGGGG
Molecule: ribosomal RNA, 392 nt
Filed under: uncultured bacterium
Lineage: Bacteria
Description: partial 16S ribosomal RNA
Rfam family: Bacterial small subunit ribosomal RNA
Source: RNAcentral